NNNNNNNNNNNNNNNNNNNNNNNNNNNNNNNNNNNNNNNNNNNNNNNNNNNNNNNNNNNNNNNNGGAGGGAGCUGGGGGGAGGGGGGCUCGCGGAAGGUGGAGAACUGGCCCUGGGAGGGAGGACGUGACACCCCUCCCGGUGGAUGGCAGGGAGGCACUUGAUAAACUCCCAGGGUCCAGGUGUGGGGGUGGAGGCAGCAUUCCUUUGCCCGAAUUCUGCUCCCAGGUCACACUCGGCCUGGGGUCUCCAGAGGGGAGAUACGCAACGUGGGGAAGGUAAGGAGCCAUCUAAAACCACAGUGCGUCUGCCGCUGGCCAGCCGAGCGGUAGGGGAACAUUCCAGGGAGUGAGCAAGGAACCUAUCCUCGGAUGGAAGGGCCAGGCGUCCCUUGGAGACCCAGAGAACGAGCAACAAGUAGACCCCCUCCUCCCCCGAACUGCUGUCCCAAGGGUCUGUAUCUGAAGAAAGACAGCUGGGGUUCCAGGUAGGGCUGGCUGCUUGCAUUUCCUCUGGGCUGUGUGUGUGUGUGUGUGUGUGUGUGUGUUGCCCCAGGAUUUGCCAGAUGGAAGCACAGCUGGAGAUAGAGGUGAGAGCAAAGGAUUGGGGUUUCAGCUGCCUACCUCCUUUUCCUGAAAAUCCCCUGGAAGUCCGCUCCUGCUAGCAGGUGGGUGUGAUUUUGCCUGGUGUCAAGGAUCAAAUGGCCAGAACCUAUAUAAUCAGUGGUGCUAAAUCCUAUCAGGUUGGAAGGAAUGGAAAGGUCCAGGGGCCACCCCAGUGCACACAGCCAAGCUGGGACAGAGCCACAAGAAGGCGCCUUGUUCAGCCAACCUGGUGUCCCCAGGGCAGGCCAAGCUUAAGUACUCCUUGGAAGGCAUUUGAGAAGAAAGCAGCCUCGGGAAUGUCCCUCCUGGUAGAAUGUUCUCGACGGGUCAGCUCUGCAGCGGGAUGCAGGAUCCCCACAGAGACGAGAAAACUACAGAAGUCGGUCCAUACAGAGAGGACUUUUGGGAUUCAGCUACCAGUUGAUAUGAGCCUUGGGAUGGAUUUGACUUGCUGGGUGGCCUUUGGAAAACCAGGAGGUCCUCUGUGAUGUGAGAAUUCCCUUACCUCCAAGGCUGAGGCUGCUUCUCGGAGAUGCAAGAAUGGAGACCCUCUUUGGAUCCUGAGAAACCUGUGCCCUGUCCUGAAACCAGCUCCUGAGAAGGUGAGGGACACCUCCUACCCCCCAGCGCUGUCCACUGAUUCCCCCACACGGGAGAAAGGAAGACCUCAGUGGAGCCCGAGCCGGUGAAUUCAACAAGGAACUGUGCACCCGAAAAACCUCGGUUGGGGUUACUGGAUGCAAAAUCCUGAGUCUGGAGGCUGUUGACAAGGUUCUCCCCCUUCUUCAUAGACUACCAAAAAAAGAAAAGCUGGUAGAUGCUGAGGUCACAUGUGAAGCAAGUCCUACUUACCUACCCAGUGUUACUGGGUUAUUCCAUUUUCACUCCCCCUGCCUGAAUGGACAGCUGACCCUGACAUUUCCCAUACAAGCUUUUCUCUGCUUUCCUAAUCUGAUGGGAUAAUGAUGUCAUAAAGAAAUAACUAAAACAGUAGGUGCUUAAUAAAUGCUUUCUGGUGUGAAAUAAGGAAGACAGUCACGGGACAGCCUCCAAACUCUUCCUUACCCUCCAUCAAUUUUUUGAUAGCCAGGUUUGUAAUAGGAGUACUCUCUCCUUUAGCACUGAAUCAGGGGUUCCUUUCUCUUAUUGUGUUUGCUUUCCAUGAGACACACCUACCCCUAGUCUUUUCGUCACCUAAGGCCUGACCCCUCCGGGUAGGCUGAGCAGAGAUUCCUGGAGCACAUCUGACCUGUCCAGUCCCUCUGCUUAAAGACACAAAUUUCCCUCUCACAUGAAAAAAGCAGGUCUGAUUCAAAUCUACCCAAUGAGUAAAAAAUGGUGCCCAGGACCUGAGGCAUCGGCUCCUGAUUUAAUGUUACGUCAUCUCCCUUCUCCAUAGGGCAUGACAGCUGCCCCACAGUCCCACCACUCCCCAUCCAUUCUCCGUAUUAAUUGCCUUCUCUCAAUGCUCUUUAUUGUGGGGGCACCUGGGUGGCUCAGCGGGUUAAGCCUCUGCCUUCGGCUCAGGUCAUGAUCUCAGGGUCCUGGGAUCAAGCCCCACGUCGGGUUCUCUGCUCAGCGGGGAGCCUGCUUCCUCCUCCCUCUCUCUCUGCCUGCCUCUCUGCCUACUUGUGAUUUCUCUCCAUCAAAUUAAAAAAUAA
Molecule: long non-coding RNA, 2265 nt
Filed under: Mustela putorius furo (domestic ferret)
Lineage: Eukaryota; Metazoa; Chordata; Mammalia; Carnivora; Mustelidae
Description: lncRNA (ENSMPUG00000029883.1)
Source: RNAcentral